GUGUGUGGUUGGUCUUCAGCACCAAGGACAGGAAUGUUUACCUGUGUGUAAAUGAUGUUCAGCACCAAGUAC
This 72-nucleotide microRNA precursor is filed under the name Branchiostoma floridae (Florida lancelet). RNAcentral's name for it is "mir-2060 microRNA precursor family". It matches the Rfam family "mir-2060 microRNA precursor family", at positions 9 to 80 of the family's 94-position model. The record is from Rfam by way of RNAcentral. Lineage: Eukaryota; Metazoa; Chordata; Leptocardii; Amphioxiformes; Branchiostomatidae.